This 490-nucleotide ribosomal RNA is filed under the name uncultured bacterium. Its description in RNAcentral is "partial 16S ribosomal RNA". It matches the Rfam family "Bacterial small subunit ribosomal RNA", at positions 28 to 507 of the family's 1533-position model. The record is from RNAcentral.
GAUGAACGCUAGCUACAGGCUUAACACAUGCAAGUCGAGGGGCAGCAUGGUCUUAGCUUGCUAAGGCCGAUGGCGACCGGCGCACGGGUGAGUAACACGUAUCCAACCUGCCGUCUACUCUUGGACAGCCUUCUGAAAGGAAGAUUAAUACAAGAUGGCAUCAUGAGUUCACUUGUUCACAUGAUUAAAGGUAUUCCGGUAGACGAUGGGGAUGCGUUCCAUUAGAUAGUAGGCGGGGUAACGGCCCACCUAGUCUUCGAUGGAUAGGGGUUCUGAGAGGAAGGACCCCCACAUUGGAACUGAGACACGGUCCAAACGCCUACGGGAGGCAGCAGUGAGGAAGAUUGGUCAAUGGGCGAGAGCCUGAACCAGCCAAGUAGCGUGAAGGAUGACUGCCCUAUGGGUUGUAAACUUCUUUUAUAAAGGAAUAAAGUCGGGUAUGUAUACCCGUUUGCAUGUACUUUAUGAAUAAGGAUCGGCUAACUCCGUG